GAUGAACGCUGGCGGCGUGCUUAACACAUGCAAGUCGAACGGAGGACCCUUGACGGAGUUUUCGGACAACAGAUAGGAAUCCUUAGUGGCGGACGGGUGAGUAACGCGUGAGGAACCUGCCUUGGAGAGGGGAAUAACACAGAGAAAUUUGUGCUAAUACCGCAUGAUGCAGUUGGGUCGCAUGGCUCUGACUGCCAAAGAUUUAUCGCUCUGAGAUGGCCUCGCGUCUGAUUAGCUAGUUGGUAGGGUAACGGCCUACCAAGGCGACGAUCAGUAGCCGGACUGAGAGGUUGACCGGCCACAUUGGGACUGAGACACGGCCCAGACUCCUACGGGAGGCAGCAGUGGGGAAUAUUGGGCAAUGGGCGCAAGCCUGACCCAGCAACGCCGCGUGAAGGAAGAAGGCUUUCGGGUUGUAAACUUCUUUUAUGAGGGACGAAGGAAGUGACGGUACCUCAUGAAUAAGCUCCGGCUA
This 475-nucleotide ribosomal RNA is filed under the name uncultured bacterium. RNAcentral's name for it is "bacterial SSU rRNA". It matches the Rfam family "Bacterial small subunit ribosomal RNA", at positions 28 to 499 of the family's 1533-position model. The record is from RNAcentral.